This is a long non-coding RNA of Ostrinia nubilalis (European corn borer), 250 nucleotides long. RefSeq lists it as uncharacterized. The record is from RefSeq and is a predicted model, not a curated record. NCBI's taxonomy places the organism in Eukaryota, Metazoa, Arthropoda, Insecta, Lepidoptera, Crambidae. The transcript has 2 exons.
UUCAUAGCCAGCAUGGGAUCAUGGCCAGCGGGCGCGGCGGCGGGCUGGAUGUUGGUGGCGUUGGCACUGGCGCCACUUGUGCUGGUCAUAUUGUUCUAUGCCGUCUUCAAGUGCCGCGUCAGGAAUAUUGUGGGGACUGAAAAAUAAAUUCGAAGUCCUGUGUGAAACUAUGUAAUUUGGAAGAUUGUGUUAAUUUAUAAUAUUAUGAAGACUGAACUGUAUUCAAUAAAACAUUAAACUUUCUGAAUGA